Pseudovirgaria hyperparasitica is the source of this 95-nucleotide non-coding RNA. NCBI's taxonomy places the organism in Eukaryota, Fungi, Ascomycota, Dothideomycetes, Acrospermales, Acrospermaceae. The record is from the annotation of a RefSeq genome assembly.
GCGGGGAUAGUAUAGUGGUUAGUACAGUUCGUUGUGGAAUUACGCAAGUAAUUAGCGACGCCGAACAGACCUGAGUUCGAUUCUCGGUCCCCGCA